Molecule: long non-coding RNA, 421 nt
Organism: Lycium ferocissimum
Lineage: Eukaryota; Viridiplantae; Streptophyta; Magnoliopsida; Solanales; Solanaceae
Exons: 2
Source: RefSeq, a predicted model, not a curated record
CCAUAUGCUAAAUAACAAGUUAAACCGAUAAGAGCACAUGACAUUAUUUAUAUGAAAAACGCCAAAUCCAAUUUAAAAAAAAAAAGAAAAAAAAGAUUAUUACAUAGCUGUCUUUCUGUCAGACGGAACACUACUUCUAACACAUCUAAACACCUAGGUUUCCCUCUUACAAAUAUCUGCCAAAAGCUAAAGAUUAACAAAAAGAAAAGAAAAAGGUUCAAAACAUCUAAAGAAGAAUACUACAUUAACACUUUAUAAGGUCGAAAACACAACAGGCAGAUUUGAUUAUCUUUUCCACUGUCAAAAGAACACUAAACACUAUGUACUGCAGAAUAGGUACACCCAGAAUGGUGACAAAAAUCACACAAGUUAACAUGACAAAUAUCUCAAGAGAAGAGACUUACAUUGACGAGGGAAACUU